CAAUACUAAUCAGUGUAAUUAGUUGUCUGGUUUUUAAGCCUUUUUGCCCUUACUACAUUGCCUGUAGAUGCAGAGUUGUGGCUCCUGCCUAGACUCUAGUACAAGAUGAACAAAUAAGAGUUUGGUUCAGGUUUUUACCAAAGUUGACCUAGUUAGCAUGCAUCUGAUGAGCUACUUGUAGAAGCAAAUACAUUGCAAAUAUAGUUUUUAUCUAUUCUCUCCCUUCUCUGCUUUCCAUAUCUAUUUACCAGUAAAAGACCUAUAGAGUAGCUUGAAGGGCCACAGCAUGUCUAAUAGCACAAAAGGUUGUUGCACUGCUGGUGAGGUCCAGCUCCACUAAACCCAUUUGGGUUUUAUAUAUUCUUGUGGCACUGCUUGGAAAAAGACUCGAGAAAAACAACAGCCAGAUUUGGCAGAAAGAAGAUGUGUCUGGUCACACAGCCCUGAGCAGGUUUUUAACAGAUGAAACAGAAAGGCUUUCUGUUUAUGUAAAGUUCUCCAUGUGAGGAUCCUAGAAUGAUUCACACAUACAUAAGGCACUGCAGCACAAAGCCAUACAAGCCAGCUCGGUACUGUGCCAUACCGGUAUAGUCAUGCCCCAUGUGGAAAGGUGGCCUUGGACUGUGUAACACACUGAACUUGGGGGAGAGGAGAGGACCAUCUGUGAAGGAAGAGGGAAACGCUCCCACUGCAAAUCUUUAUAAACCUACAAAACCUUGUUUUUGUUAAACAUAAUGAAUACCUUUGCUUUCUAUUCUAGCUGAUCUGUACAUUCUUUCUUUAUAGGACUCUAAAUGCCUAUCAAUACAGAAAGUUAUAAUAAAUUCUUAACCUUGCACAGUGUUCAAUACAUACAGACAGCAUCAAGGCAUUACUUGUGAAUUAUGUUCCAUUAGGAAGGAAAUGUAACAGAACUUGGAGUACAGUUUGUGGCAACUUUAUCAGUGCUGACAAAACAAAGGCCAUUUCUGUAUGAGGCAUUCCCGACACUUUCUGCACAAGCUGGAAAUGAUCAAACCAAGUGAAAACCACACAGGAUUAGAGAACCUGAGCUGGCCUGGAAGCUGCGCUGUGGCCCUGGAGCAUUUCCAAACCCCAGCCCCUGGCAGGAGAGUUACAGCUUUCGGGUCAUGCUGUAAUGGAGACAGUAAAUCACUGAUGUGAAAUGCA
Neopsephotus bourkii (Bourke's parrot) is the source of this 1170-nucleotide long non-coding RNA. RefSeq lists it as uncharacterized. NCBI's taxonomy places the organism in Eukaryota, Metazoa, Chordata, Aves, Psittaciformes, Psittacidae. The record is from RefSeq and is a predicted model, not a curated record. The transcript has 2 exons.